GUGCCAGCAGCCGCGGUAAUACGUAGGCAGCAAGCGUUGUUCGGAGUUACUGGGCGUAAAGAGUGCGUAGGCGGUCCUGUAAGUUUGGUGUGAAAUCUCCCGGCUCAACUGGGAGGGUGCGCCGAAGACUGCAGGGCUUGAGUAUGGGAGAGGUAAGCGGAAUUCCUGGUGUAGCGGUGAAAUGCGUAGAUAUCAGGAGGAACACCUGUGGUGUAGACAGCUUACUGGACCAUAACUGACGCUGAGGCACGAAAGCGUGGGUAGCAAACAGGAUUAGAUACCCUGGUAGUCC
Molecule: ribosomal RNA, 292 nt
Filed under: uncultured bacterium
Lineage: Bacteria
Description: partial 16S ribosomal RNA
Rfam family: Bacterial small subunit ribosomal RNA
Source: RNAcentral